AACGAACGCUGGCGGCAGGCCUAACACAUGCAAGUCGAGCGAGGACUUCGGUUCUAGCGGCGGACGGGUGAGUAACGCGUGGGAAUGUGCCCUUCUCUACGGAAUAGCCCUGGGAAACUGGGAGUAAUACCGUAUACGCCCUUUUGGGGAAAGAUUUAUCGGAGAAGGAUCAGCCCGCGUUGGAUUAGGUAGUUGGUGGGGUAAUGGCCUACCAAGCCGACGAUCCAUAGCUGGUUUGAGAGGAUGAUCAGCCACACUGGGACUGAGACACGGCCCAGACUCCUACGCGAGGCAGCAGUGGGGAAUCUUAGACAAUGGGGGCAACCCUGAUCGAGCCAUGCCGCGUGAGUGAUGAAGGCCUUAGGGUUGUAAAGCUCUUUCAGCUGGGAAGAUAAUGACGGUACCAGCAGAAGAAGCCCCGGCUAACUCCGUG
Molecule: ribosomal RNA, 433 nt
Filed under: uncultured bacterium
Lineage: Bacteria
Description: partial 16S ribosomal RNA
Rfam family: Bacterial small subunit ribosomal RNA
Source: RNAcentral